UAAAGCGAUUCAGCGGGUUACGAUUGACGGAGCGAAGCGACGUCAAAGCGUAUACAAAGUCGAGUCGGUUUAAGGAUACGUUCGUUGGGUAGGGGAGCGUUCUGUAAGCCUGUGAAGGUGGCCUGUGAGGGUUGCUGGAGGUAUCAGAAGUGCGAAUGCUGACAUAAGUAACGAUAAAGCGGGUGAAAAGCCCGCUCGCCGGAAGACCAAGGGUUCCUGUCCAACGUUAAUCGGGGCAGGGUGAGUCGACCCCUAAGGCGAGGCCGAAAGGCGUAGUCGAUGGGAAACGGGUUAAUAUUCCCGUACUUGGUGUUACUGCGAAGGGGGGACGGAGAAGGCUAUGUUGGCCGGGCGACGGUUGUCCCGGUUUAAGCGUGUAGGUGUGUGUUCCAGGUAAAUCCGGUUCACUUUAACACUGAGGCGUGACGACGAGGCACUACGGUGCUGAAGCAACAAAUGCCCUGCUUCCAGGAAAAGCCUCUAAGCAUCAGGUAACAUCAAAUCGUACCCCAAACCGACACAGGUGGUCAGGUAGAGAAUACCAAGGCGCUUGAGAGAACUCGGGUGAAGGAACUAGGCAAAAUGGUGCCGUAACUUCGGGAGAAGGCACGCUGACACGUAGGUGAAGUGAUUUACUCAUGGAGCUGAAGUCAGUCGAAGAUACCAGCUGGCUGCAACUGUUUAUUAAAAACACAGCACUGUGCAAACACGAAAGUGGACGUAUACGGUGUGACGCCUGCCCGGUGCCGGAAGGUUAAUUGAUGGGGUCAGCGCAAGCGAAGCUCCUGAUCGAAGCCCCGGUAAACGGCGGCCGUAACUAUAACGGUCCUAAGGUAGCGAAAUUCCUUGUCGGGUAAGUUCCGACCUGCACGAAUGGCGUAAUGAUGGCCAGGCUGUCUCCACCCGAGACUCAGUGAAAUUGAACUCGCUGUGAAGAUGCAGUGUACCCGCGGCAAGACGGAAAGACCCCGUGAACCUUUACUAUAGCUUGACACUGAACAUUGAGCCUUGAUGUGUAG
RNAcentral lists this ribosomal RNA (1019 nucleotides) under Salmonella enterica. RNAcentral describes it as "partial 23S ribosomal RNA". It matches the Rfam family "Bacterial large subunit ribosomal RNA", at positions 1163 to 2141 of the family's 2925-position model. RNAcentral also lists the same sequence under 1 other name. Lineage: Bacteria; Pseudomonadati; Pseudomonadota; Gammaproteobacteria; Enterobacterales; Enterobacteriaceae. The record is from RNAcentral.